GGCCUCCCCCUUUGUGAACAAUCUUGUUGCUUCGGGGGCGACCUGCCGCUUCGGGUGCGGGCCCCAUCAAACACUGCAUCAUUGCGUCGGAGUCAAAGUAAAUGAAACAAAACUUUCAACAACGGAUCUCUUGGUUCCAGCAUCGAUGAAGAACGCAGCGAAAUGCGAUAAGUAAUGUGAAUUGCAGAAUUCAGUGAAUCAUCGAAUCUUUGAACGCACAUUGCGCCCUCUGGUAUUCCGGGGGGCAUGCCUGUUCGAGCGUCAUUUCACCACUCAAGCCUGGCUUGGUAUUGGGCGUCGCGGCACCGCGCGCCUUAAAGUCUUCCGGCUGAGCUGUCCGUCUCUAAGCGUUGUGGCAACUAUUCGCUUCGGAGGCCGGAUGCCGCGGCCGUUAAAUCUUUCACAAGG
Molecule: small RNA, 408 nt
Filed under: Pseudocercospora sp. 1687 FeLB
Lineage: Eukaryota; Fungi; Ascomycota; Dothideomycetes; Mycosphaerellales; Mycosphaerellaceae
Description: eukaryotic LSU rRNA
Rfam family: 5.8S ribosomal RNA (bases 111-264)
Source: RNAcentral